Molecule: long non-coding RNA, 385 nt
Filed under: Cyanistes caeruleus (blue tit)
Lineage: Eukaryota; Metazoa; Chordata; Aves; Passeriformes; Paridae
Description: lncRNA (ENSCCEG00000006170.1)
Source: RNAcentral
GUGAUUUGUGCAGUGGGCCAGACCCUGACAGACCCUGCUCUCCCUCCUGCCCGUCCAUGGGGCCUGAGCAGGUCCCACAUUUACUCAGGUGGCCGAGUCCAACAAGACAGUUGCACCUGUUCUGAGUACCUGUUUCCCUCAAACUUUGAUCCUGAAGCAAAAUCUGAGCUGUAGAAGUUGUUGGUGCUGGGAUGGACGUGGUGACAGGAGCCCAGGGUGCUGCUGAAGUUUGGUGUGAAUUUUGGAGGUGGCCAUUGCUCCCUCACCAUCAAUCUGAGUCUCUGAUCAGCCUGGGCCCUGCACCACGGAGACCUCAGGGAUAAUUUGCAGCAGCAUCUUCUGGAGGUUAAUGGCAUGUUGUGGGAAGUGGUCAGUUUUAAAUUCA